Molecule: ribosomal RNA, 373 nt
Filed under: uncultured bacterium
Lineage: Bacteria
Description: bacterial SSU rRNA
Rfam family: Bacterial small subunit ribosomal RNA
Source: RNAcentral
GGAGGGUGCGAGCGUUGUUCGGAAUCACUGGGCGUAAAGGGCGUGUAGGCGGUCCGCUAAGUCUGAUGUGAAAGCCCGGGGCUCACCCCCGGAAGUGCAUUGGAAACUGGCGGACUCGAGUCCCGGAGAGGAGGGUGGAAUUCCUGGUGUAGCGGUGAAAUGCGUAGAUAUCAGGAGGAACACCGGUGGCGAAGGCGGCCCUCUGGACGGUGACUGACGCUGAGACGCGAAAGCGUGGGGAGCAAACAGGAUUAGAUACCCUGGUAGUCCACGCUGUAAACGAUGAGCACUAGGUGUCGUGGGUAUUGACCCCCGCGGUGCCGCCGCUAACGCAUUAAGUGCUCCGCCUGGGGACUACGGCCGCAAGGUUAAA